UUAGGUAAUUUCUCUUUUCUUUUCUUCAUCUUUACAGGUGGUUCUAAACAAGUGGAUUCAGGCAGCUCACCUACCACAUCCUCUUUAGGUAAUUUCUCUUUUCUUUUCUUCAUCUUUACAGGUGGUUCUAAACAAGUGAAUUCAGGCAGCUCACCUACCUCAUCCUCUUUAGGUAAUUUCUCUUUUCUUUUCUUCAUCUUUACAGGUGAUUCUAAACAAGUGGAUUCAGGCAGCUCACCUACCACAUCCUCUUUAGGUAAUUUCUCUUUUCUUUUCUUCUUCUUUACAGGUGGUUCUAAAUAAAUGCAUUCGGGCAGCUCACCUAUAUCAUCCUCUUCAGGUAAUUUCUCUUUUCUUUUCUUCUUCUUUACAGGUGCUUCUAAAUAAGUGGAUUCAGGCAGCUCACCUAACUCAUUCUCUUUAGGUAAUUUCUCUUUUCUUUUCUUCUUCUUUACAGGUGGUUCUAAAUAAGUGGAUUCAG
Pezoporus flaviventris is the source of this 481-nucleotide long non-coding RNA. RefSeq lists it as uncharacterized. Lineage: Eukaryota; Metazoa; Chordata; Aves; Psittaciformes; Psittacidae. The record is from RefSeq and is a predicted model, not a curated record. The transcript has 3 exons.